Molecule: ribosomal RNA, 497 nt
Filed under: uncultured bacterium
Lineage: Bacteria
Description: partial 16S ribosomal RNA
Rfam family: Bacterial small subunit ribosomal RNA
Source: RNAcentral
GAUGAACGCUGGCGGCGUGCCUAAUACAUGCAAGUCGAGCGAACAGAUGAGGAGCUUGCUCCUCUGACGUUAGCGGCGGACGGGUGAGUAACACGUGGAUAACCUACCUAUAAGACUGGGAUAAUUUCGGGAAACCGGAGCUAAUACCGGAUAACAUAUUGAACCGCAUGGUUCAAUAGUGAAAGACGGUUUUGCUGUCACUUAUAGAUGGAUCCGCGCCGCAUUAGCUAGUUGGUAAGGUAACGGCUUACCAAGGCAACGAUGCGUAGCCGACCUGAGAGGGUGAUCGGCCACACUGGAACUGAGACACGGUCCAGACUCCUACGGGAGGCAGCAGUAGGGAAUCUUCCGCAAUGGGCGAAAGCCUGACGGAGCAACGCCGCGUGAGUGAUGAAGGUCUUCGGAUCGUAAAACUCUGUUAUUAGGGAAGAACAAAUGUGUAAGUAACUAUGCACGUCUUGACGGUACCUAAUCAGAAAGCCACGGCUAACUACGUG